GUCCACGCCGUAAACGAUGAGUACUGGGUGUCGGGUAGUUGACCCUCCGGUGCCGUAGCUAACGCGUUAAGUACUCCGCCUGGGGAUUACGGUCGCAAGAUUAAAACUCAAAGGAAUUGACGGGGCCCGCACAAGCGGUGGAGCAUGUGGUUUAAUUCGACGCAACGCGAAGAACCUUACCUGGGCUAGACAACGGUGGACCUCCCCAGAGAUGGGGCUUUCCCUUCGGGGACUGCCGGUUCAGGUGCUGCAUGGCUGUCGU
RNAcentral lists this ribosomal RNA (262 nucleotides) under uncultured bacterium. Its description in RNAcentral is "partial 16S ribosomal RNA". It matches the Rfam family "Bacterial small subunit ribosomal RNA", at positions 793 to 1055 of the family's 1533-position model. The record is from RNAcentral.